RNAcentral lists this ribosomal RNA (386 nucleotides) under uncultured bacterium. Its description in RNAcentral is "bacterial SSU rRNA". It matches the Rfam family "Bacterial small subunit ribosomal RNA", at positions 100 to 520 of the family's 1533-position model. The record is from RNAcentral.
CCGGGUGAGUAACACGUGACUAACCUACCCUCGAGUGUGGAAUAACAUCGGGAAACCGAUGCUAAUACCGCAUAACAUCGCAAGAUCAAAGGAGUAAUCCGCUUGAGGAGGGGGUCGCGGCUGAUUAGCUAGUUGGCGGGGUAACGGCCCACCAAGGCGAAGAUCGGUAGCCGGCCUGAGAGGGCGCACGGCCACACUGGAACUGAAACACGGUCCAGACUCCUACGGGAGGCAGCAGUGGGGAAUUUUGCGCAAUGGGGGAAACCCUGACGCAGCAACGCCGCGUGGAGGAUGAAGCCCCUUGGGGCGUAAACUCCUUUCGACCAAGACGAUAAUGACGGUACUGGUGGAAGAAGCACCGGCUAACUCUGUGCCAGCAGCCGCGG